Molecule: ribosomal RNA, 989 nt
Filed under: Salmonella enterica
Lineage: Bacteria; Pseudomonadati; Pseudomonadota; Gammaproteobacteria; Enterobacterales; Enterobacteriaceae
Also listed under: 1 other name
Description: partial 23S ribosomal RNA
Rfam family: Bacterial large subunit ribosomal RNA
Source: RNAcentral
AAUCCAUAGGUUAAUGAGGCGAACCGGGGGAACUGAAACAUCUAAGUACCCCGAGGAAAAGAAAUCAACCGAGAUUCCCCCAGUAGCGGCGAGCGAACGGGGAGGAGCCCAGAGCCUGAAUCAGCAUGUGUGUUAGUGGAAGCGUCUGGAAAGGCGCGCGAUACAGGGUGACAGCCCCGUACACAAAAGCGCAUGUGCUGUGAGCUCGAUGAGUAGGGCGGGACACGUGGUAUCCUGUCUGAAUAUGGGGGGACCAUCCUCCAAGGCUAAAUACUCCUGACUGACCGAUAGUGAACCAGUACCGUGAGGGAAAGGCGAAAAGAACCCCGGCGAGGGGAGUGAAAAAGAACCUGAAACCGUGUACGUACAAGCAGUGGGAGCACCCUUUUGGGUGUGACUGCGUACCUUUUGUAUAAUGGGUCAGCGACUUAUAUUCUGUAGCAAGGUUAACCGCAUAGGGGAGCCGGAGGGAAACCGAGUCUUAAUUGGGCGUUAAGUUGCAGGGUAUAGACCCGAAACCCGGUGAUCUAGCCAUGGGCAGGUUGAAGGUUGGGUAACACUAACUGGAGGACCGAACCGACUAAUGUUGAAAAAUUAGCGGAUGACCUGUGGCUGGGGGUGAAAGGCCAAUCAAACCGGGAGAUAGCUGGUUCUCCCCGAAAGCUAUUUAGGUAGCGCCUCGUGAAUUCAUCUCCGGGGGUAGAGCACUGUUUCGGCUAGGGGGCCAUCCCGGCUUACCAACCCGAUGCAAACUGCGAAUACCGGAGAAUGUUAUCACGGGAGACACACGGCGGGUGCUAACGUCCGUCGUGAAGAGGGAAACAACCCAGACCGCCAGCUAAGGUCCCAAAGUCAUGGUUAAGUGGGAAACGAUGUGGGAAGGCCCAGACAGCCAGGAUGUUGGCUUAGAAGCAGCCAUCAUUUAAAGAAAGCGUAAUAGCUCACUGGUCGAGUCGGCCUGCGCGGAAGAUGUAACGGGGCUAAACCAU